RNAcentral lists this long non-coding RNA (224 nucleotides) under Helianthus annuus (common sunflower). RNAcentral describes it as "hypothetical non coding rna". The record is from RNAcentral. Lineage: Eukaryota; Viridiplantae; Streptophyta; Magnoliopsida; Asterales; Asteraceae.
GGGGAGAAAGGAAAACCCUUUUUCCUUCAUAAAAUUUCAAGAAUUCAGGGAAUUAAGGUGCUAUUGAUCCAGAAAAUCGAAUGCAUGAAGUAAAUUCCUUGCUAAUCUAAGUGUACUGAAGACAAGGAGUCAUGUCAAUAGAGGCACAAAUAUGGAAGCGCUACGGGUCGAAGGUAAACACGGAAGCUAUGUGUAAAUUCGGACGCACGAGGUUAUUUGUAUGA